CCAGAAAUGGCAACACUGCACUCCUGAAAAAAACUAGGAUUUCUUGGCUCUGAGCCUAGGCAGGCUGAGGAUGUGUUGGCAGCCAGGGAGAGGUAAAGUCUGGAGACGAAGGAAGUGGGAAGGGGAAGUUUAUAUCAAAGAGGGACGCUGGGAUUACUCAUCGGUGUUGCCUGCAAAGAGAGGAGCACAGAUGGAAGGCUCGGCAGAAGCUUGCUGAUGAGUGAGAGGAGAAUGAGAGCGAAUGGGACAGAUGCUAGAUUCCUCCAGUGACCACCGCGAGCUGGGAGCAACAGUGACUUUUCUGACAGGGAUGAGGCAUGUGGCUUGGCAUUGCUGAAUAGGAAAGAUGGGUACAUACAAGGGAAGGCUUCUGAUAUGGACUCUACCCUCUGGAGACAGCAUCAACUAAGGUCCCUCCAGAAGGUGGAUUCACGGUGCAUCUGUCAUUCUCUGGCUGUGUGGCUGCACAUGGCACAUCGGGGCUCAACAAUCUUGAAGCUGUGUCAAAAUGUCCUUUCUUUCGCAUACUGAGUGAUGUUCCAGGGAGUGUCUACCCCAUGCGUUAGUCAUCGUCUCAUCUGUCAGUGGACACUUGGGUUGCUGCCACCAUUUGACGACUGUGAAAAUGCGGCAGUGAACACGGUUGCAUGGAAAUUCCCCCUUUCUUCCCCGAUUUUACCAGUUUGAUGUAUCCAGAAGUGGAAUUUCUGUCUCAUAUAAAAACCCUAUUUUUAAAUUUCCGUUUGAUUUCUACCAACUUUUACAUUCCAA
Long non-coding RNA from Alexandromys fortis (reed vole), 771 nucleotides. RefSeq lists it as uncharacterized. Lineage: Eukaryota; Metazoa; Chordata; Mammalia; Rodentia; Cricetidae. The record is from RefSeq and is a predicted model, not a curated record. The transcript has 3 exons.